UUCUUCUGCCUCCAACACACC
This 21-nucleotide non-coding RNA is filed under the name Caenorhabditis elegans. Lineage: Eukaryota; Metazoa; Nematoda; Chromadorea; Rhabditida; Rhabditidae. The record is from RNAcentral.